Molecule: non-coding RNA, 137 nt
Organism: Triticum aestivum (bread wheat)
Lineage: Eukaryota; Viridiplantae; Streptophyta; Magnoliopsida; Poales; Poaceae
Source: Rfam
AUCAUACUCUCUCCAUCCCAAAAUUCUUGUCUUAGAUUUGUCUAGAUACGGAUGUGUAUCUAAUACUAAAACAUGACUUGAUACAUUCAUAUUUAGACAAAUCUAAGACAAGAACUUUGGGACGGAGGGAGUAUAUA